CAAAAACAUGUCUUUAUGAUAAUUUAUAUAAAGUCUAGCCUGCCCAGUGAUGUUUAAAUUUAACGGCCGCGGUAGUAUGACCGUGCUAAGGUAGCAUAAUAAUUUGUCCUUUAAUUGGGGACUGGUAUGAACGGUUGAACAAGAAAUUAACUGUCUCUACUGCAGAUUUUGAAUUUUACAUUUAAGUGAAAAGGCUUAAAUGAGAUAGGGGGACGAUAAGACCCUAUAAAUCUUUAUGUUUUGACUAAUAAAUUUUAGGGAUUAGUUAUAUACCUAGUAUUAUUAGUUGAAAUAUUUUGUUGGGGCGACAGGAGUAUAAUAAGUAACUGCUUUGCUUAUAAAAUUAAUUGUUUUUAUUGUGGAAAUUGGUAUGAUCCUCUUUAGAGAAAUCAGACUAAGUUACUUUAGGGAUAACAGCGUAAUCUUUUUUGAGAGUUCAUAUCGAAAAAAUGGUUUGCGACCUCGAUGUUGAAUUAAAGAUCCUUGAUGGCGUAGGGGCUAUUAGGGGAGGUCUGUUCGACCUUUAAACCUUUACGUGAUCUG
RNAcentral lists this ribosomal RNA (543 nucleotides) under Panulirus inflatus. Its description in RNAcentral is "partial 16S ribosomal RNA". It matches the Rfam family "Bacterial large subunit ribosomal RNA", at positions 1808 to 2607 of the family's 2925-position model. Lineage: Eukaryota; Metazoa; Arthropoda; Malacostraca; Decapoda; Palinuridae. The record is from RNAcentral.